GGAAUCUUGGGCAAUGGGCGCAAGCCUGACCCAGCCACGCCGCGUGGAGGAAGACACUCCUAUGGGGCGUACACUCCUUUUAUAUGGGAAGAAAGCUUUCCUCGGGAAAGUUUGACGGUACCGUAUGAAUAAGCACCGGCUAACUCCGUCCCAGCCGCCGCGGUAAUACGGAGGGUGCAAGCGUCGUCCGGAUUCACUGGGGGUAAAGGGUGUGGAGGCGGGGCGGUAAGUCAGAGGUGAAAGCCCACGGCUUAACCGUGGAAUUGCCUUUGAUACUGCCGUUCUUGAGUCUCGGAGAGGUCGCCGGAAUUCGUGGUGUAGCGGUGAAAUGCGUAGAUAUCACGAGGAACACCAGAGGCGUAGGCGGGCGACUGGACGAGUACUGACGCUGAGGCACGAAAGCGUGGGGAGCAAAC
RNAcentral lists this ribosomal RNA (416 nucleotides) under uncultured bacterium. RNAcentral describes it as "bacterial SSU rRNA". It matches the Rfam family "Bacterial small subunit ribosomal RNA", at positions 358 to 773 of the family's 1533-position model. The record is from RNAcentral.